GAUGAACGCUCGCUACAGGCUUAACACAUGCAAGUCGCGGGGCAGCAUGGGGGUUGCUUGCAAUCCCCGAUGGCGACCGGCGCACGGGUGAGUAACGCGUAUCCAACCUGCCCUUCACCACGGGAUAACCCGGCGAAAGUCGGACUAAUACCGUAUGUUGUCCAUUGACGGCAUCCGAUUUGGACGAAAGGCUUGGCGGUGAGGGAUGGGGAUGCGUCCGAUUAGCCAGACGGCGGGGUAACGGCCCACCGUGGCUACGAUCGGUAGGGGUUCUGAGAGGAAGGUCCCCCACACUGGAACUGAGACACGGUCCAGACUCCUACGGGAGGCAGCAGUGAGGAAUAGUGGUCAAUGGGCGUAAGCCUGAACCAGCCAAGUAGCGUGCAGGAUGACGGCCCUAUGGGUUGUAAACUGCUUUUAUGCGGGGAUAAAGUGGCCCACGUGUGGGCUUUUGCAGGUACCGCAUGAAUAAGGACCGGCUAAUUCCGUG
Molecule: ribosomal RNA, 490 nt
Filed under: uncultured bacterium
Lineage: Bacteria
Description: partial 16S ribosomal RNA
Rfam family: Bacterial small subunit ribosomal RNA
Source: RNAcentral